This 885-nucleotide ribosomal RNA is filed under the name uncultured bacterium. Its description in RNAcentral is "bacterial SSU rRNA". It matches the Rfam family "Bacterial small subunit ribosomal RNA", at positions 420 to 1334 of the family's 1533-position model. The record is from RNAcentral.
GGGUUGUAAACUGCUUUUAUGAGUGAAGAAUAUGACGGUAACUCAUGAAUAAGGGUCGGCUAACUACGUGCCAGCAGCCGCGGUCAUACGUAGGACCCAAGCGUUAUCCGGAUUUACUGGGCGUAAAGAGUUGCGUAGGUGGUCGGUAAAGCGAAUAGUGAAAUCUGGUGGCUCAACCACACAGGCUAUUAUUCGAACUCACCGACUCGAGAGUAGCAGAGGUAACUGGAAUUUCUUGUGUAGGAGUGAAAUCCGUAGAUAUAAGAAGGAACACCGAUGGCGUAGGCAGGUUACUGGGCUAUUUCUGACACUAAGGCACGAAAGCGUGGGGAGCGAACCGGAUUAGAUACCCGGGUAGUCCACGCUGUAAACUAUGGAUGCUAGCUGUUGGAGGUAUCGACCCCUUCAGUAGCGAAGCUAACGCGUUAAGCAUCCCGCCUGUGGAGUACGAGCGCAAGCUUAAAACAUAAAGGAAUUGACGGGGACCCGCACAAGCGGUGGAUCGUGUUCUUUAAUUCGAGGCUAAACGACAAACCUUACCAGGGCUUGACAUCCUAGGAAUUACUCCGAAAGGAGUGAGUGCCGCAAGGAAUCUAGUGACAGGUGUUGCAUGGCCGUCGUCAGCUCGUGUCGUGAGAUGUUUGGUUAAGUCCAUCAACGAGCGCAACCCUUGUGAAUAGUUGUAUUUUUCUAUUCAGACUGCCCCGGCAACGGGGAGGAAGGAGGGGAUGAUGUCAGGUCAGUAUUACCCUUACGUCCUGGGCUAGAAACACGAUACAAUGGCUAGUACAAUGCGCCGCGAAGCCGCGAGGUGGAGCAAAUCGCAUCAAAGCUAGUCUCAGUUCGGAUUGGAGGCUGAAACUCGCCUCCAUGAAGUCGGAAUCG